RNAcentral lists this ribosomal RNA (265 nucleotides) under uncultured archaeon. RNAcentral describes it as "partial 16S ribosomal RNA". It matches the Rfam family "Archaeal small subunit ribosomal RNA", at positions 719 to 982 of the family's 1478-position model. The record is from RNAcentral.
ACACGACUACAUUAGAUACCCGUGUAGUCCUAGCCGUAAACGAUACUCGCUAGGUGUCGGCCACGGUGCGACCGUUGUCGGUGCCGUAGGGAAGCCGUGAAGCGAGCCACCUGGGAAGUACGGCCGCAAGGCUGAAACUUAAAGGAAUUGGCGGGGGAGCACAACAACGGGUGGAGCUUGCGGUUUAAUUGGAUCCAACGCCGGAAAUCUUACCGGGACCGACAGCAACAUGAAGGCCAAGCUGAAGACUUUGCCGGAUUAGCUG